Molecule: non-coding RNA, 241 nt
Organism: Pelobates cultripes (western spadefoot toad)
Lineage: Eukaryota; Metazoa; Chordata; Amphibia; Anura; Pelobatidae
Source: the annotation of a GenBank genome assembly
GAACAUCUUAGGCAGAGCAGCUAAUACACUAUUUGAUUCUCUAUAAAAAUUCAAAGAUCGGAUUGAUUGCAUAUUCUCUGCUUAAUUUUAAGGGGAGAAGAACAGAUACAAUAAGUAAAAGCCCUGUAUAGCAGAGGCAUUCCACGAAGUCCAUUUUGCACACACAGUCCACUUUCUGCAAAAAAAUUCCAUCCAUAACUUGCAAUUUUAGAACAGAUUUUCAAAGCAAAGAUCAGCUAAU